Molecule: long non-coding RNA, 1276 nt
Organism: Scylla paramamosain (green mud crab)
Lineage: Eukaryota; Metazoa; Arthropoda; Malacostraca; Decapoda; Portunidae
Exons: 7
Source: RefSeq, a predicted model, not a curated record
ACUGAAUGAAUACAUGUCCCAAUGUUGCUCAUUGUUCUUUACAGAUUGCAUGGCUACUUAGUAUCACAGCUCCUGAUCAACUCUACUACUGCCCUAGAGAAUCAAAACCAUCAGACUUGUGCCGUGAUUGUCAGGAAUGUACACUGGUCCACGAGGGUUUGGGUGCUGUCAGGCAGGCAGGCCAGACCCACUCGCUCAGCACUCUGGAACAUCUGCAUGUUAGCCAGUCAGGCGAUCACAUGGAAGCUCUUGUGUAUCACUGUUCUUGGUCCACUUCACUAUUAAUAAGGAAAGCACUGGUAUCCCACAUCAACGUGAUGCCACCCACAGCAUGGCAAAAAGCUUGGGACACAUCUCCAGCAACCAGCAAUUAUAUAAGAAAGAAGAACUAACUAAAUUAAGAUAAGAAAACAAGAGUCGCUGCUGUAACAAAAACAUUGUUGUUGUCAUGGCACCCACCUCAUGUCCACACGGGAAAUGUGGGUAAUCCUGGACUUGCCAGAGCCACAGGGCUGGAUGAGGUAGCGAGAGGCAAGGACAAUGCCUCGCACACCUCCCACAAGCAUUGGUGCAUCUACGUGCUCCACGGAGGUCUCCACUACUACACAGCUGCCUCGUGCAAGAUCACUGCGCCAGUGCCUGGAAGGAGCAAACACCUUAAGGCCUGACAAGCACUUGCACACUUACCUGAGUACACAGUAGUCGACUGGUGGCCGAGGUGGCAUUGAGUUACACAUGUACUGGAACACCUCAGACUGGCGGUCAAGGCGACUCACAACCCGCCACUUGAACAAGCUGUCAUCCCACAGAUUGAGGCAGCCUAUAAACAUCUCUAAUCCUUAUCAUGAUUCAGCUUCUUUACUGACUUGUCUCUGGCUUCCUUGAAGAGUGAGGUGAUACAAGCAUUCAUGUAGGAGUUCCAGUCGCCUUCAUUUCUGGGGCCUCCAGGGGAGCCCAUCCCAAGGUCCUCUAAGCAGACUGGCUGACUCUGCUCCAGUGGACUUGAACCUGAUGAUCCGCCAACAUUCAAAUGGAAAAGUGAUGGAGCCAGACACACAGCCAAGUUGCUUGCCGUCAUCUGCCAAAGUGUCACACUGUGAUGUUUGUUGAUGACAAUUUUGUCAAGAUCAAACUGGGGUGCAUUGGCAGCCACAUCAGCAAGGAAGGUUAGCAGCGCCAUCAGCACCUCUCUAUUCUCGUCAGGCAACAUCAGCACUGCACAUUGCAAGGCCUCUAGUCGGUGCUCAUUAGGUAGAUCUGAGAAAUAAAACAGAUA